This 2925-nucleotide ribosomal RNA is filed under the name Enterobacter cloacae. RNAcentral's name for it is "bacterial LSU rRNA". It matches the Rfam family "Bacterial large subunit ribosomal RNA". Lineage: Bacteria; Pseudomonadati; Pseudomonadota; Gammaproteobacteria; Enterobacterales; Enterobacteriaceae. The record is from RNAcentral.
GGGUUGUGAGGUUAAGCGACUAAGCGUACACGGUGGAUGCCCUGGCAGUCAGAGGCGAUGAAGGACGUGCUAAUCUGCGAAAAGCGCCGGCGAGGUGAUAUGAACCCUUGACCCGGCGAUGUCCGAAUGGGGAAACCCAGUGCAAUCCGUUGCACUAUCGUUAACUGAAUACAUAGGUUAACGAGGCGAACCGGGGGAACUGAAACAUCUAAGUACCCCGAGGAAAAGAAAUCAACCGAGAUUCCCCCAGUAGCGGCGAGCGAACGGGGAGCAGCCCAGAGUCUGAAUCAGCUUGUGUGUUAGUGGAAGCGUCUGGAAAGUCGCACGGUACAGGGUGAUAGUCCCGUACACGAAAAUGCACAGGCUGUGAACUCGAAGAGUAGGGCGGGACACGUGGUAUCCUGUCUGAAUAUGGGGGGACCAUCCUCCAAGGCUAAAUACUCCUGACUGACCGAUAGUGAACCAGUACCGUGAGGGAAAGGCGAAAAGAACCCCGGCGAGGGGAGUGAAAAAGAACCUGAAACCGUGUACGUACAAGCAGUGGGAGCACCUUCGGGUGUGACUGCGUACCUUUUGUAUAAUGGGUCAGCGACUUAUAUUCUGUAGCAAGGUUAACCGUAUAGGGGAGCCGAAGGGAAACCGAGUCUUAACUGGGCGUUAAGUUGCAGGGUAUAGACCCGAAACCCGGUGAUCUAGCCAUGGGCAGGUUGAAGGUUGGGUAACACUAACUGGAGGACCGAACCGACUAAUGUUGAAAAAUUAGCGGAUGACCUGUGGCUGGGGGUGAAAGGCCAAUCAAACCGGGAGAUAGCUGGUUCUCCCCGAAAGCUAUUUAGGUAGCGCCUCGUGAACUCAUCUUCGGGGGUAGAGCACUGUUUCGGCUAGGGGGCCAUCCCGGCUUACCAACCCGAUGCAAACUACGAAUACCGAAGAAUGUUAUCACGGGAGACACACGGCGGGUGCUAACGUCCGUCGUGAAGAGGGAAACAACCCAGACCGCCAGCUAAGGUCCCAAAGUCAUGGUUAAGUGGGAAACGAUGUGGGAAGGCCCAGACAGCCAGGAUGUUGGCUUAGAAGCAGCCAUCAUUUAAAGAAAGCGUAAUAGCUCACUGGUCGAGUCGGCCUGCGCGGAAGAUGUAACGGGGCUAAACCAUGCACCGAAGCUGCGGCAGCGACGCUUAUGCGUUGUUGGGUAGGGGAGCGUUCUGUAAGCCGUUGAAGGUGGCCUGUGAGGGUUGCUGGAGGUAUCAGAAGUGCGAAUGCUGACAUAAGUAACGAUAAAGCGGGUGAAAAGCCCGCUCGCCGGAAGACCAAGGGUUCCUGUCCAACGUUAAUCGGGGCAGGGUGAGUCGACCCCUAAGGCGAGGCCGAAAGGCGUAGUCGAUGGGAAACAGGUUAAUAUUCCUGUACUUGGUGUUACUGCGAAGGGGGGACGGAGAAGGCUAUGUUAGCCGGGCGACGGUUGUCCCGGUUUAAGCAUGUAGGCGGAGGUUCCAGGUAAAUCCGGUACCUUUUAACGCUGAGGUGUGAUGACGAGGCACUACGGUGCUGAAGUAACAAAUGCCCUGCUUCCAGGAAAAGCCUCUAAGCAUCAGGUAACAUCAAAUCGUACCCCAAACCGACACAGGUGGUCAGGUAGAGAAUACCAAGGCGCUUGAGAGAACUCGGGUGAAGGAACUAGGCAAAAUGGUGCCGUAACUUCGGGAGAAGGCACGCUGAUAUGUAGGUGAAGCCCCUGCGGGUGGAGCUGAAAUCAGUCGAAGAUACCAGCUGGCUGCAACUGUUUAUUAAAAACACAGCACUGUGCAAACACGAAAGUGGACGUAUACGGUGUGACGCCUGCCCGGUGCCGGAAGGUUAAUUGAUGGGGUUAGCGGCAACGCGAAGCUCUUGAUCGAAGCCCCGGUAAACGGCGGCCGUAACUAUAACGGUCCUAAGGUAGCGAAAUUCCUUGUCGGGUAAGUUCCGACCUGCACGAAUGGCGUAAUGAUGGCCAGGCUGUCUCCACCCGAGACUCAGUGAAAUUGAACUCGCUGUGAAGAUGCAGUGUACCCGCGGCAAGACGGAAAGACCCCGUGAACCUUUACUAUAGCUUGACACUGAACACUGGUCCUUGAUGUGUAGGAUAGGUGGGAGGCUUUGAAGCGUGGACGCCAGUCUGCGUGGAGCCAUCCUUGAAAUACCACCCUUUAAUGGCUGGUGUUCUAACGUAGACCCGUAAUCCGGGUUGCGGACAGUGUCUGGUGGGUAGUUUGACUGGGGCGGUCUCCUCCCAAAGAGUAACGGAGGAGCACGAAGGUUAGCUAAUCCUGGUCGGACAUCAGGAGGUUAGUGCAAUGGCAUAAGCUAGCUUGACUGCGAGAGUGACGGCUCGAGCAGGUGCGAAAGCAGGUCAUAGUGAUCCGGUGGUUCUGAAUGGAAGGGCCAUCGCUCAACGGAUAAAAGGUACUCCGGGGAUAACAGGCUGAUACCGCCCAAGAGUUCAUAUCGACGGCGGUGUUUGGCACCUCGAUGUCGGCUCAUCACAUCCUGGGGCUGAAGUAGGUCCCAAGGGUAUGGCUGUUCGCCAUUUAAAGUGGUACGCGAGCUGGGUUUAGAACGUCGUGAGACAGUUCGGUCCCUAUCUGCCGUGGGCGCUGGAGAAUUGAGGGGGGCUGCUCCUAGUACGAGAGGACCGGAGUGGACGCAUCACUGGUGUUCGGGUUGUCAUGCCAAUGGCACUGCCCGGUAGCUAAAUGCGGAAGAGAUAAGUGCUGAAAGCAUCUAAGCACGAAACUUGCCCCGAGAUGAGUUCUCCCUGAGACUUAAAGUCUCCUGAAGGAACGUUGAAGACGACGACGUUGAUAGGUCGGGUGUGUAAGCGCAGCGAUGCGUUGAGCUAACCGAUACUAAUGAACCGUGAGGCUUAACCUUACAACGCCGAAG